GCGGGACUGAAACUGAAAUGAACAAGGCGCGGCCACGAACCCCUUCACACGUGCAGACAAAGAAACCCAACAUAACCAAAAUAUGCCGAAGUUAUUCGGAGUUGGUGCGUCAGCUGACAAAGUUGAGCACAAAGAGGAGAGGAGCGUUCCUUUGUUCUGAGGAGUGCUUUGGGAUAUCAUGCGUAGACAUCCCUAGUUAUCUUGUACCUAAACUGGCUAACGUUGAAGGCAACUGAACAGACGUGGGAAACUUGUAUUUACAUGCAUUGGACUCAACCCCUUGGUGAUUCAUUUUGUAAGAAGACACGCCAUUAGUGAAACUUUCUGUUGCGGAUUCAUGGACUGCGUCAUACCUUGAGAGACCCAUAUUUUGACAUUUUCCCUGUUACUUUUGGGGUUCGCUUCUUUCAACAACAUCAUUGGAUUAUGAAAUUGUAUGCGGGACAAAACAGAAACGGCAAAAACGUGGAGUAGCAGCGAAAAUCCAUCAAGACGGAGGGGGGCCGCGGCGCGAACGUGGAAACGUGAAUGGGUGGAUGACGCUUGUGAGUGGUGGGACGGGAGCCGUCAAAACAGGAAAGCUCGCAAACAGCUGGCCGUAUCUAAAAAAGCCCUGACACAUCUUCAGGGGCUUUUAAUUGCAAGCCGCCGCCUCCCUCGCUCCACAUGUUUUCUGGGGCAUCCGGCCUUGCAACCCCUCUCUGUGAUGAGGAUCAAAGUGGCGGAGGCGUGACUUAAAACCCUGCUCCUUCCUUCCCUUUCUUCCUUUUUUGGACAGGGCCUGGGACUGCAUUUUGAAGAGAAGUCCUGCUGUAUAUCCCUUUUCCCCUUUUAUAUAUCUAUGUUCUCCACAUGCAGUUAGUCUAAUAGUGGGGCAAAUAAUGUGAUACUGAACAUCACUAUAUAAUCAGGACUUGUUUUUAAAGAUCCUUUUUAGCAGGGACACCAGUUAAAAAAUAACCAAUUCUGCUUUACUGAGAGGUUUCAUGCAUUAUUUGUGCUUGCUUGAAAGAUAUUCUUAUGCAGGAUAAUUUGCUCAUCUUAUAUUUAUAUAUUUUUAAAUCCAGAUAUACUGGUGGGUUUUACUGGUAGUACUGAAGCUGAAAGAAAAUCGGAAACAUUGUUAUGUUUUUGUGGUGUUCAUUAAGUAUACAAUUGAGCUCUCAAGUUCAUCUUUCAAGUCUAGAACCUGACCUUCCUGCUGUAGAUGAUGAUGCAAGCAGACUUUACUAGCAACCCAAGCUUUCCUUUUCAGUGAAUGAGUGAUAUAAAACUACCUCUAUACUGAAAGGUAGAGCAGACCAUUUCCCCACAAGAUUUGUCUCUAGUCCCAUUCUAUAUAUAUUACAUAUACAUACGCUAGUUGCAUGUAUAUCUAAUAUCUAGCCUUGGGCUUCCCCCUCACUGUACACUGCCUGUUUAAAAUACACAAAAUAAUGUGACCUAGUUACAUGGGUGCUCGCUCUACGUCUGGGUGUCUUACCAAAAAGCAGGGAUUUACUGUACUUUUUUUUUACGGAGGAAGGUUGGGUUAGGUAAAGCAGAGUGUGUGUCCUGAGCACGCUGGGUCUUUCUGGGUGGCACUGCUUUGUGAGAAGGGCGGCAUUAUCUUUCGUGUUUACCUCAGCGAGAGGAACUGCUUGUCAGAGCUCUCUGCCAGCACGGAAGACGGGGACCGGAGGAGAAGCCCCGGGUUCCGUGGCCCGAGUCCCCCGCUUCCUCCCUCACGGAGACAUAUGCGCUCCUGUUGACAUGGAUUAGCGGGGGAGAUGCUAUCAGGCCACACAUGGAACAAGGUCUUUACUGUCCACAGUGAGCCAGGGAAGGGAAGAGGGCUUUAUCUGUUUGUUUUCCUCUUCCCUUCCCUAUUUUAAAGAUCCGUGGCUGUGGCAUGAGUACAACUCUGUGUGGUUUCGUGGUAUCGUGAUACUGUGGAAACUAUGGCAACCACAUGCUGCAGGUUUGCUUGGUUCAGUGGGUGUCAGUGCAUGUAUGUGUAAAAGAGAAAAAGAAAAAAAAAAGAAGAGAAGAGAUAUCCGCUGAAGCUUUAAAAUAACGUUGCCCGAUCCUGAGGUCCUUUCAAUUACUCUAGGAAAGAUGAGGAAAUAAAUUUCAUUCAUGGGACAGCACCACGAGGAGAUAUGGACGAGAGAAAGGAUGCAGAGAGGAACAGUGCCACUCACUGGCAUGAUGGAGGCUUCUACAGCCACUUCUGAUUCAAUUAGUCUGGCUAUUCAUGGCUUAAUGAGGAACCCAUAGCAUGCCGCAUGUGCUAAUUCACUGACUAAUCACCUAAUUGUUCUUAGCAAUUGGAGGUAAUUUAGUUAGAGGCUUUUGUUUUUGCUGUCUUUUGUGUGAGCACAGUGCACAAUGUAUGUAUCUUAGGGAGAGAAAAAUGGAAAUAGAAACCAGUCCUGGAGUGGUGGCUAAUAUAUGUGUAAUAGCACUACACAUGUGCUGUGGGAAGCAUUAUGAACAUUGUCACGUUUAUAUUUUCAUUAUAUUUGCUGUGGGGUUAGCUGUAACGUAACACACACACACACACACUGUUCCUGCUGACCUGUCAAGUUUUUUACUCGUUUUGUACUCCCAGCAUUUGCAAGGCCAUACAUUACUCUGAGAAGGUCUGGUUGUCCUUGUCUUAAGUAUUGGUAAGGAAGCAGGCAUGUACUGACAAUGUAUCUAAUCAACAAAUUGUUUUAAAUCACUUGAGUAUAAAUAAUUGGAUCAUAACAAAAAGCGAAACAGUGGCAACCAUAUCAAGGAUGAUGCAACAUGUUGAAAAUAUGAACUGUUCUUUACAGUAGUUAACUUAAUUUAUAAUAAACUGGCAUGACUUACUGGGUGAUGCAAUGUAAUGUGAAAGUACAUUAUGAACCCAAUGCAAAAUGACAUUAAAUGCAUUAUGCAUUUAUACCACAGACUGCUGUAUCUAUGAUGUCUUACAGAACUGACAUUCAUGACAUUAUUAAUUUAUACAAAUGUAUUAUGUGGGGGGGGGGGGGGGGGGGGGGUUGGCUUUAUUUCUGCCUGUAAGGGGAUGUUGUUGGGGAGGGAUGCAGCAUGCAUACAUUUCCACCAAUGAUUAGGGGGAAGGCAGCAUGGCUAAUGUUUUACUGACCAACUGCUGCUUGUCCCCAAGGCCUGUGUUAAUCUGGAUGGCUUUGGUUCACCGCUGUUAUGCCGUGCAUGGCUACUGUACAUGAGUGUAACAGAAUUAAAUGUGCGCGCUGAUCUGCUGUAUCAUGUCCGGUGGGUGGCCCAGAGCUCUGCUUGACUGCUUUUGUUCUAAGAAAUUAUGUCAUGUAAAAAGCAAGCCGUUUGGGGGGAGGGGUGAUAAAAGACCUUGGACUCUAAUCCAGUAGCUUGCUGGUUCAGUUCCCAGGCAGGGAACUUGGUUUUUAUUCAGCUGUAUAAAUUAGUAAUAUGUACAUUUUACACAUGUAAAUUGCUCUGCAUAAGGAUGUCUACUAUGCAUAUUAGCACCAAAUAACAUAAGCCCUUAUCAUGGGAAAUUUAGAAUUUUAAUGUUUCAUGAUGGUGCGGCUAAGGGCCAGACUGCAAGGUAAAUGGAGGAUCAAGCUGUAGUGAACAGCUGUGUGUUUCAAAGGCUCUUGGGUGUGUCUACCUGCUGUUUUUCUAUGGCCCCUCAUGUAUUUCUUACUGAACUGCACUACAAUGACAAGUAUUCAUGCUGCAUAUCAACGUAAAAUGAAUGUAUUUAUUUAUUUAUUUAUUUAUUUAUUUAUUUAAAUAAAAAAUGAAAGUUGCA
Molecule: long non-coding RNA, 3772 nt
Organism: Anguilla rostrata (American eel)
Lineage: Eukaryota; Metazoa; Chordata; Actinopteri; Anguilliformes; Anguillidae
Exons: 5
Source: RefSeq, a predicted model, not a curated record